GAAAAGCACUCUGGAGAGAGAGUCAAAAGACCGUGAAACCGCUCAGAGUAUAAGCCCAUGGCAGCUUGGAAGGCAUAUCGCGAGCGGGGCAUCGGUCUUCCUUCGCGGGGAGCCGGUGUUACCUUGCCUCUGUUGUGGCUCGUUAUGGUAGGGGGGUCAAGUCCACAUCCCGCCGUCGUGUGGGGAGUUCUCGGGCGUGUCGUUGCUUUGCGGUUGACCUCGGUUGAUCGUAGGGCUCUUCGUGCUUGGUUCUUCUUUAGACACGGACGUUCAGACUCAGAGGCAAGACGCGAUAACCAGCCCACCACGGCACGUUGUGAGGUCACCCACAGGCUCAACUUUCGAUUGUGGUCCUUGACGCCGAGCAAGCACAAUGCGUGUCGCAGAUGUUCCUAACCGGACAAUUUUUGUCAGGACCGUGGAACGACACGCGCUCAACAGUCAGGACCGGGCGAUGACAGAGUUCUGGUACGAUCCUCUUGCGACGAGCCGCCUUCUGGCCGAUUUCCGAUGCUCAGGUCUCCCGCAUGUGCCGCGGGAGAUCGCUUUGGCGGUCUGGACCCGUAAGAGUCCUCUCAGCCGGGCAACGGAAAGAGUGGUGUAAAGUCCAAGCCCAUCGGUCACGUCUCGAAACACGGGCCAAGGAGUAUAGCAUGUGUGCAAGUCUAAGGGUCUCACAAAACCCGAAGGCGAAGUGAAAGCAAGUAAGCGGCGGGUGAUCUACGGAGAGAUCCCGUCAGCUAGAGGGGUCCUCGGACUCCUCCGGCUUUGGCAGAGUUGAUCCUGCAGCGGUACCGCAUACGUACGCUCAGGCGCAAACUCCAGGCUCACGUUUCGCACUGGUUCUCGGACUGUGCUGUGAGCACUGUGGAGCAUGCAUGCUAUGACCCGAAAGAUAGUGAACUAUGCCUGGCGAGGGCGAAGCCCCAGGAAACUGGGGUGGAGGCCCGUAGCCGUUGUGACGUGCAAAUCCAUGGUAUCAGUUGGGCAUAGGGGCGAAAGACCAAUCGAACUAUCUAGUAGCU
RNAcentral lists this ribosomal RNA (1025 nucleotides) under Gammarus pulex. RNAcentral's name for it is "partial large subunit ribosomal RNA". It matches the Rfam family "Eukaryotic large subunit ribosomal RNA", at positions 366 to 952 of the family's 3401-position model. The record is from RNAcentral. Lineage: Eukaryota; Metazoa; Arthropoda; Malacostraca; Amphipoda; Gammaridae.